This 244-nucleotide unclassified non-coding RNA is filed under the name plant metagenome. Its description in RNAcentral is "partial contains small subunit ribosomal RNA, internal transcribed spacer 1, and 5.8S ribosomal RNA". The stretch from base 196 to 244 matches the Rfam family "5.8S ribosomal RNA", at positions 1 to 49 of the family's 154-position model. The record is from RNAcentral.
UCUCCGUUGGUGAACCAGCGGAGGGAUCAUUACAGGACUCGCAAGACUCCUUCACCCUGUGAACCUCACUACAAGCACGUUGCUUCGGCGGGUGUCCCGGCGGGGGUUUUCCCUCGCCGGGGCGCACAGCCCGCCGGCAGCCUACUAUACUCUGUCUCUUUGCGUUGGCAUCUCGAGAAAAAACAAACAAGUUAAAACUUUCAACAACGGAUCUCUUGGUUCUGGCAUCGAUGAAAAACGCAGC